RNAcentral lists this small RNA (848 nucleotides) under Rattus norvegicus (Norway rat). Its description in RNAcentral is "uncharacterized LOC102549721". Lineage: Eukaryota; Metazoa; Chordata; Mammalia; Rodentia; Muridae. The record is from RNAcentral.
UUUGUUUGAUUUUCUUACAGGACAGGUCUGCCCAAUCCAAUAAUAAUUACCUGCUUGUUGGAGAAAUGGAUAACCAAGUCAGUAUCCAAUCUGGGAGGAAGCUGCCUCAGCUAUGCCAGCAUUGUGCUGAAUGCUGAAGUCAGUGGCGUUGAUCUGUGUUGGCAGGCUGAAGAGGCUAGAAUCUUCUGUCAGUGGGAUAGACUCACUCAGAAAGGAGGGAUUGGAGAGUCCCUAUCAUGGAGGCUGCAGUCAGCCAGUGUGGAGCAUUUUCCUCAGCAGGAAAUCAUGUCACCUCUCAGGGAGUGCUUCCAGGAGAAAGACUUGUCAGAGUUCAGUCUUCUGCAAGGCUGGCUUCCUCCAGCCUAACCAUGCUAUGCACUCGUGCUUCAAAAAGCCUUCAAACAUUAAUUAACGUUUUCUGAAAAGCACCCAACCAUUCGGCUCUGAUAGCAGCGAGAUUGAAAAGCACGGAGUUCUGCAGAGGUUUGGCAGUGUGGCGAAGGAUCCAGACACAAAACCUGGGAGCUGUGUGCGCCUGCUGCACUUGCCUUACUGAGAUGCUAUCAGCUGUAGAUCCAAUCCCCAUCAAUCAAAUGCACAGCAGAUGAAAAUCUUUUUUACCCUUCUGCCUUCUCUACUGAAGACAAUAUUUGCCUCUCAUGGAGCUGAAUUUUUUCAUCAAUGAAUUCGACUUGCAUUGGCCUUGUUCAGAGGACCUGAGUUCAUUUUCCAGAACUCAGGCCAGGUACCAGACAACUCCAGUGUUAGCCUCCACCAGUCUUUGUCACAUGAAUGCAUACACACAAGAAAACAUUCACACACAUAAAAUAAAAAUAAAUUUGAAACAA